This 487-nucleotide long non-coding RNA is filed under the name Physcomitrium patens. RNAcentral's name for it is "long non-coding RNA (PPAT_LNC002772)". The record is from RNAcentral. Lineage: Eukaryota; Viridiplantae; Streptophyta; Bryopsida; Funariales; Funariaceae.
UAUAUUCACCCUCAUAAUCUCCAAUUGUAAUAUUGUGCCCUCAUAGCUUUCAGCACACAAUUACCCUCAUUCCAAUAAGUGAAAUUCUUCACACAGAACUGCCAUUCACAUUACAAUGUUUCACACAAACACAAACUCAUUCUCUCUACUGAACUACAAUCAGAUUUCAGCAUUCAAUCUUUCUUCUUCUCAAAUAAUACCAAUCACAUUUCCAUCCCUUAAUUCACUUUACAAUAUUCAAAAACUUUCAAUCCUCUUAUUCAAAGAAAAUAACAAACAAAAGAAAAGAGAUAGCACCAAGCUUACCCCGGCUUAUACUAUCACAGCGAUGGCCCUCAGCUCAUGACUAUCACAGUCUGGCCCCUUAAUUAACUUCUACAACUCCUAUAUACUUUCUCCUGAUUCUCCAGAUUCUAACUGUAAUUCUGUAAUUAACCGCUUUUAAGAACUAAAUCACUCAUCCGUCCUCUUGAAUUUCCUAUUGUAU